UACGUAGGGUGCAAGCGUUAAUCGGAAUUACUGGGCGUAAAGCGUGCGCAGGCGGUUAUGUAAGACAGGUGUGAAAUCCCAGGGCUUAACCUUGGAACUGCAUUUGUGACUGCAUAGCUAGAGUACGGUAGAGGGGGAUGGAAUUCCGCGUGUAGCAGUGAAAUGCGUAGAUAUGCGGAGGAACACCGAUGGCGAAGGCAAUCCCCUGGACCUGUACUGACGCUGAGGCGCGAAAGCGUGGGGAGCAAACAGG
RNAcentral lists this ribosomal RNA (253 nucleotides) under uncultured bacterium. RNAcentral's name for it is "partial 16S ribosomal RNA". It matches the Rfam family "Bacterial small subunit ribosomal RNA", at positions 524 to 776 of the family's 1533-position model. The record is from RNAcentral.